GACAGAGGCCCCGAGCGUUAGGCGGAAUCACUGGGCUUAAAGCGUGUGUAGGCGGGCCCGUAAGUGUCUUGUGAAAUCCCACGGCUCAACCGUGGAACUGCUGGGCAUACUGCGGGUCUUGGGCCAACUAGGGGCAGCCGGAACAAGCGGUGGAGCGGUGAAAUGCGUAGAGAUCGGGAGGAACACCAGAGGCGAAGGCGGCGACCUGGACAGGCACUGACACCCAACUACGAAAGCGUGGGGAGCAAACAGG
Molecule: ribosomal RNA, 253 nt
Filed under: uncultured bacterium
Lineage: Bacteria
Description: partial 16S ribosomal RNA
Rfam family: Bacterial small subunit ribosomal RNA
Source: RNAcentral